CCGUCUUGAAACACGGACCAAGGAGUCUAGCAUGUGCGCGAGUCAUUGGGACUUAACUAAACCUAAAGGCGAAAUGAAAGUGAAGGUCCGCCUCGCGCGGACCUAGGGAGGAUGGGCCCGCCCAAGGGGGGCCCCGCACUCCCGGGGCGUCUCGUUCUCAUCGCGAGAGGAGGCGCACCCAGAGCGUACACGCUGGGACCCGAAAGAUGGUGAACUAUGCCUGGUCAGGACGAAGUCAGGGGAAACCCUGAUGGAGGUCCGUAGCGAUUCUGACGUGCAAAUCGAUCGUCGGAACUGGGUAUAGGGGCGAAAGACUAAUCGAACCAUCUAGUAGCUGGUUCCCUCCGAAGUUUCCCUCAGGAUAGCUGGCGCUCGCCGCGCGCGAGUCUCAUCCGGUAAAGCGAAUGAUUAGAGGCAUUGGGGUCGAAACGGCCUCAACCUAUUCUCAAACUUUAAAUGGGUGAGAUCUCCGGCUUGCUCGAACACGUGAAGCCGCGAGAUUUCGGAUCAGAGUGCCAAGUGGGCCACUUUUGGUAAGCAGAACUGGCGCUGUGGGAUGAACCAAACGCAGAGUUAAAGCGCCCAAAUCGACGCUUAUGGGAUACCAUGAAAGGCGUUGGUAACUUAAGACAGCAGG
Molecule: ribosomal RNA, 637 nt
Filed under: Serrognathus miwai
Lineage: Eukaryota; Metazoa; Arthropoda; Insecta; Coleoptera; Lucanidae
Also listed under: 1 other name
Description: eukaryotic LSU rRNA
Rfam family: Eukaryotic large subunit ribosomal RNA
Source: RNAcentral